AGAACGAACGCUGGCGGCAGGCCUCAAACAUGCAAGUCUAGGGGGUGUAGCAAUACAUCACCGGCGGACGGGUGCGUAACGCGUGGGAAUGUACCUAUUGGUUCGGAACAACUGAGGGAAACUUCAGCUAAUACCGGAUGAGCCCGAAAGGGGAAAGAUUUCUCGCCAAUAGAUCAGCCCGCGUCCGAUUAGCUAGUUGGUGGGGUUAAAGCCUACCAAGGCGACGAUCGGUAGCUGUUCUGAGAGGAAGAUCAGCCACACUGGGACUGAGACACGGCCCAGACUCCUACGGGAGGCAGCAGUUGGGAAUCUGGACAAUGGGGGAAACCCUGAUCCAGCCAUGCCGCGUGAGUGAUGAAGGCCUUCGGGUUGUAAAACUCUUUCGACGGGACGAUAAUGACGGUACCCGUAGAAGAAGCUCCGGCUAACUUCGUGCCAGCAGCCGC
This 446-nucleotide ribosomal RNA is filed under the name uncultured bacterium. Its description in RNAcentral is "SSU rRNA". It matches the Rfam family "Bacterial small subunit ribosomal RNA", at positions 26 to 518 of the family's 1533-position model. The record is from RNAcentral.